UGCUAAAGAGGAAAAAAUGUAUUUGCUAAUUUGAUGCCAUGAGGAAGAUACUAAACCACAAACAUAGCUGGAGCA
Molecule: small nucleolar RNA, 75 nt
Organism: Alosa alosa (allis shad)
Lineage: Eukaryota; Metazoa; Chordata; Actinopteri; Clupeiformes; Clupeidae
Product: small nucleolar RNA SNORD24
Exons: 1
Source: RefSeq, a predicted model, not a curated record